This 301-nucleotide ribosomal RNA is filed under the name uncultured bacterium. RNAcentral's name for it is "partial 16S ribosomal RNA". It matches the Rfam family "Bacterial small subunit ribosomal RNA", at positions 509 to 809 of the family's 1533-position model. The record is from RNAcentral.
CAGUAGCCGCGGUAAUACGAGGGGAGCUAGCGUUGUUCGGAAUUACUGGGCGUAAAGCGCGCGUAGGCGGCUUUUUAAGUCAGAGGUGAAAGCCCGGGGCUCAACCCCGGAAUUGCCUUUGAAACUGGAAAGCUAGAAUCUUGGAGAGGUCAGUGGAAUUCCGAGUGUAGAGGUGAAAUUCGUAGAUAUUCGGAAGAACACCAGUGGCGAAGGCGACAUACUGGAUCAUUACUGACGCUGAGGCUCGAAAGCGUGGGGAGCAAACAGGAUUAGAUACCCCGGUAGUCCCUGUCUCUUAUAA